RNAcentral lists this ribosomal RNA (490 nucleotides) under uncultured bacterium. RNAcentral describes it as "partial 16S ribosomal RNA". It matches the Rfam family "Bacterial small subunit ribosomal RNA", at positions 30 to 507 of the family's 1533-position model. The record is from RNAcentral.
AUUGAACGCUGGCGGCAGGCCUAACACAUGCAAGUCGAACGGUAACAGGAAGCAGCUUGCUGCUUUGCUGACGAGUGGCGGACGGGUGAGUAAUGUCUGGGAAACUGCCCGAUGGAGGGGGAUAACUACUGGAAACGGUAGCUAAUACCGCAUAACGUCGCAAGACCAAAGAGGGGGACCUUAGGGCCACUUGCCAUCGGAUGUGCCCAGGUGGGAUUAGCUAGUAGGUGGGGUAACGGCUCACCUAGGCGACGAUCCCUAGCUGGUUUGAGAGGAUGACCCGCCACCCUGGAACUGAGACACGGCCCAGACUCCUACGGGAGGCAGCAGUGGGGAAUAUUGCACAAUGGGCGAAAGCCUGAUGCAGCCAUGCCGCGUGUAUGAAGAAGGCCUUCGGGUUGUAAAGUACUUUCAGCGGGGAGGAAGGGAGUAAAGUUAAUCCCUUUGCUCAUUGACGUUACCCGAAGAAGAAGCACCGGCUAACUCCGUG